GAGAACAAAAGAAACAAGAGCAAAAGAACUAAAGGCCAUACGGCCAUGGAGAAAAAAAAUUGACCCUUUGAAAUCUUAUCCCAAAAAUUAUUUUCUUGUGGUAUUUCUACUAAUUCAAGGGUCCUUUACAACUUGGUGUAAUUAUUUUGGAAGAAAGAGCACUUGUUUCUUCAAGUUGACAACUUGGUCAAGUGAAGAAGAUUGUAUAAAAAGAUUUUGGCGAACUUGAAACUUGAUUUUGGAGACGUGUAUGAAGCGGAAAAGGUCAGCAGGUAGACAGGCUUGACUCCUAGGAGUUCUAUCAGCAGUAUUGGCUGCACUCCAGUUGUCCCGGAGCCUCAGUUCCUUGGUACUAUUUUGUGUAUAUAUUCGGCCACGGCAAUACUCGGCCCUUCCUAUGUAUAUGUGUACUAUGUUUAGAGGCUCGUAGACAGAUAUGUACAGUUAGAUGUGUUGUAUUUUGGAAUGUUCACGUCGUCGUAUAACGUGAUAGCAAAGUUUACUAGUCUA
Molecule: long non-coding RNA, 510 nt
Organism: Lycium barbarum (goji berry)
Lineage: Eukaryota; Viridiplantae; Streptophyta; Magnoliopsida; Solanales; Solanaceae
Exons: 3
Source: RefSeq, a predicted model, not a curated record